GGGCAUAUGAUGUAGUGGUAUCAUAUUCGCUUUGCAUGCGAAAGGUCCUGGGUUCAAUCCCCAGUGUGUCCA
This 72-nucleotide transfer RNA is filed under the name Colletotrichum orbiculare MAFF 240422. RNAcentral describes it as "tRNA-Ala (TGC) (tRNA-Ala-TGC-3-1)". It matches the Rfam family "tRNA". From Rfam's summary of the family: Transfer RNA (tRNA) molecules are approximately 80 nucleotides in length. Their secondary structure includes four short double-helical elements and three loops (D, anti-codon, and T loops). The record is from RNAcentral. Lineage: Eukaryota; Fungi; Ascomycota; Sordariomycetes; Glomerellales; Glomerellaceae.